Long non-coding RNA from Camelina sativa (false flax), 788 nucleotides. RefSeq lists it as uncharacterized. Lineage: Eukaryota; Viridiplantae; Streptophyta; Magnoliopsida; Brassicales; Brassicaceae. The record is from RefSeq and is a predicted model, not a curated record.
CUGCUAAUCAUCUCAUCAUCGAACGAACAAGGCGCCAAUUUCCAAAUCCCUAAUCAUCGCUGCAUCAUCGGAUCUCCUUUCAACUGGGUUCCAUAUGCUCGCCUGGCGUUCGAUUCAUCGGAGACUGCGACGUGGAGGUCGAGCCAGUGUCGCCGUCUCAGAUUCCAGACGGGACCUUGGACCAGGUGUUUCGACAGCCCUGUUCUCUCCAUUCGAGCAAUUUUAUUAGAAGCGUCCUGAUGAAUCACGUAGAAGAGUUCUCUGCUCCUGAAGAUUUUUCCCGGCGGGAACAAAUUUGGCAGCAGAGGGGGGAGUUCUAAAUGCGACAAAAGAGGGCAACCACAAUUAAAGGUUUCCAAAAGGCCACUCUAGGAACAAGUUCUAAAUGUUCCUGUCUCCACUAUUCUGAGUGUGUUGUCAAAAUUCCUUUUUCCGCUUGUAGGUUCACUGGUCAGUGCACCCGGUAUACAUGCAGUGUGUUUUGAUUUGAUGAGUUCAAGGCUGGUAACAUUGUGAAAGCAGACAAGACAUUAGAGCUGUGGAAGAAAGGCGAGAAUGCAACCCAUUAAACUCAUCCUCUGAAGUUCAGAGUUUCCGCGGAGAUCAGACGCAUCUAAGCUCUCUCUUUCACACCUCUCUAUCCCCAAAUUGCAAGUCUGAAUAAUCGCUAAUCUCACCAAGAUAUGUUUCUAUGCGCAAUACAGCAUUGUAAUAUGUUUGUUACUAGUUGUUCUUUACAAGAGUAUAGCCAUUGUUUUGGAAGUUUUUUUUAAAGAAAAGGUUCAGUU